This 501-nucleotide ribosomal RNA is filed under the name uncultured bacterium. Its description in RNAcentral is "bacterial SSU rRNA". It matches the Rfam family "Bacterial small subunit ribosomal RNA", at positions 28 to 526 of the family's 1533-position model. The record is from RNAcentral.
GAUGAACGCUAGCGGCAGGCCUAACACAUGCAAGUCGAACGGUAACAGAUCCCUCGGGAUGCUGACGAGUGGCGCACGGGUGCGUAACACGUAUGCAAUCUGCCUCUAACUGGAGAAUAGCCCAUGGAAACGUGGAUUAAUACUCCAUAAUAUCACAGCAUCGCAUGGUGAUGUGAUUAAAGCUUUGGCGGUUAGAGAUGAGCAUGCGCCCUAUUAGCUAGUUGGUGAGGUAACGGCUCACCAAGGCAACGAUAGGUAGGGGGUCUGAGAGGAUUAUCCCCCACACUGGUACUGAGACACGGACCAGACUCCUACGGGAGGCAGCAGUGAGGAAUAUUGGGCAAUGGACGAAAGUCUGACCCAGCCAUGCCGCGUGCAGGAUGACUGCCCUAUGGGUUGUAAACUGCUUUUAUUUAGGAAGAAACUUCUCUACGUGUAGAGAACUGACGGUACUAUUUGAAUAAGGACCGGCUAACUCCGUGCCAGCCGCCGCCGUAACAC